This 253-nucleotide ribosomal RNA is filed under the name uncultured bacterium. RNAcentral describes it as "partial 16S ribosomal RNA". It matches the Rfam family "Bacterial small subunit ribosomal RNA", at positions 524 to 776 of the family's 1533-position model. The record is from RNAcentral.
UACGAAGGGGGCUAGCGUUGCUCGGAAUCACUGGGCGUAAAGCGCACGUAGGCGGAUUGCUAAGUCAGGGGUGAAAUCCUGGAGCUCAACUCCAGAACUGCCUUUGAUACUGGCAACCUUGAGUCCGGGAGAGGUGAGUGGAAUUCCGAGUGUAGAGGUGAAAUUCGUAGAUAUUCGGAAGAACACCAAUGGCGAAAGCAGCUCUCUGGGACGGUACUGACGCUGAGACGCGAAAGCGUGGGGAGCGAACAGG